GACGAACGCUGGCGGCGUGCUUAACACAUGCAAGUCGAACGGAAAGGCCCUGCUUUUGUGGGGUGCUCGAGUGGCGAACGGGUGAGUAACACGUGAGUAACCUGCCCUUGACUUUGGGAUAACUUCAGGAAACUGGGGCUAAUACCGGAUAGGAGCUCCUGCUGCGUGGUGGGGGUUGGAAAGUUUCGGCGGUUGGGGAUGGACUCGCGGCUUAUCAGCUUGUUGGUGGGGUAGUGGCUUACCAAGGCUUUGACGGGUAGCCGGCCUGAGAGGGUGACCGGCCACAUUGGGACUGAGAUACGGCCCAGACUCCUACGGGAGGCAGCAGUGGGGAAUAUUGCACAAUGGGCGGAAGCCUGAUGCAGCAACGCCGCGUGCGGGAUGACGGCCUUCGGGUUGUAAACCGCUUUCGCCUGUGACGAAGCGUGAGUGACGGUAAUGGGUAAAGAAGCACCGGCUAACUACGUGCCAGCAGCCGCGGUGAUACGUAGGGUGCGAGCGUUGUCCGGAUUUAUUGGGCGUAAAGGGCUCGUAGGUGGUUGAUCGCGUCGGAAGUGUAAUCUUGGGGCUUAACCCUGAGCGUGCUUUCGAUACGGGUUGACUUGAGGAAGGUAGGGGAGAAUGGAAUUCCUGGUGGAGCGGUGGAAUGCGCAGAUAUCAGGAGGAACACCAGUGGCGAAGGCGGUUCUCUGGGCCUUUCCUGACGCUGAGGAGCGAAAGCGUGGGGAGCGAACAGGCUUAGAUACCCUGGUAGUCCACGCUGUAAACGGUGGGUACUAGGUGUGGGGUCCAUUCCACGGGUUCCGUGCCGUAGCUAACGCUUUAAGUACCCCGCCUGGGGAGUACGGCCGCAAGGCUAAAACUCAAAGGAAUUGACGGGGCCCCGCACAAGCGGCGGAGCAUGCGGAUUAAUUCGAUGCAACGCGUAGAACCUUACCUGGGUUUGACAUGGAUCGGGAGUGCUCAGAGAUGGGUGUGCCUCUUUUGGGGUCGGUUCACAGGUGGUGCAUGCCUGUCGUCAGCUCGUGUCGUGAGAUGUUGGGUUAAGUCCCGCAACGAGCGCAACCCUUGUUCACUGUUGCCAGCACGUUAUGGUGGGGACUCAGUGGAGACCGCCGGGGUCAACUCGGAGGAAGGUGGGGAUGACGUCAAGUCCUCAUGCCCCUUAUGUCCAGGGCUUCACGCAUGCUACAAUGGCUGGUACAGAGAGUGGCGAGCCUGUGAGGGUGAGCGAAUCUCGGAAAGCCGGUCUCAGUUCGGAUUGGGGUCUGCAACUCGACCUCAUGAAGUCGGAGUCGCUAGUAAUCGCAGAUCAGCAACGCUGCGGUGAAUACGUUCCCGGG
This 1343-nucleotide ribosomal RNA is filed under the name uncultured bacterium. RNAcentral's name for it is "16S ribosomal RNA". It matches the Rfam family "Bacterial small subunit ribosomal RNA", at positions 28 to 1378 of the family's 1533-position model. The record is from RNAcentral.